UGACCUAAACCCUCACCAGAGUAACAAUUGGAGGGCAAGUCUGGUGCCAGCAGCCGCGGUAAUUCCAGCUCCAAUAGCGUAUAUUAAACUUGUUGCAGUUAAAAAGCUCGUAGUUGAAUUUCUGCGUUAUCGAGUUAUUGACUCUUGUCUUUAAUCGAUUUCGCUUUUGGGAUUUAUCCCUUUUUACUUUGAGAAAAUUAGAGUGUUUCAAGCAGACUUUUGUCUUGAAUACUUCAGCAUGGAAUAAUAGAGUAGGACUUUGGUUCUAUUUUGUUGGUUUUUGAACCUUAGUAAUGGUUAAUAGGAACGGUUGGGGGCAUUCGUAUUUAACUGUCAGAGGUGAAAUUCUUAGAUUUGUUAAAGACGAACUACUGCGAAAGCAUUUGCCAAGGACGUUUCCAUUAAUCAAGAACGAAAGUUAGGGGAUCGAAGACGAUCAGAUACCGU
RNAcentral lists this ribosomal RNA (447 nucleotides) under Babesia sp. RNAcentral describes it as "SSU rRNA". It matches the Rfam family "Eukaryotic small subunit ribosomal RNA", at positions 521 to 1018 of the family's 1831-position model. The record is from RNAcentral. Lineage: Eukaryota; Apicomplexa; Aconoidasida; Piroplasmida; Babesiidae. RNAcentral also lists the same sequence under 1 other name.